RNAcentral lists this ribosomal RNA (253 nucleotides) under uncultured bacterium. RNAcentral describes it as "partial 16S ribosomal RNA". It matches the Rfam family "Bacterial small subunit ribosomal RNA", at positions 524 to 776 of the family's 1533-position model. The record is from RNAcentral.
UACGUAGGGUGCAAGCGUUGUCCGGAUUCAUUGGGCGUAAAGAGCUCGUAGGCGGCCAGUUACGUCGGUUGUGAAAACUGGAGGCUCAACCUUCAGAGGUCGACCGAAACCAUCUGGCUAGAGUUCGGGAGAGGAGAGUGGAAUUCCUGGUGUAGCGGUGAAAUGCGCAGAUAUCAGGAAGAACGCCGGUGGCGAAAGCGGCUCUCUGGAACGGUACUGGCGCUGAGAAGCGAAAGCGUGGGGAGCGAACAGG